UGGGGAAUUUUGCACAAUGGGGGAAACCCUGAUGCAGCGACGCCGCGUGAUUUAGAAGGCCUUCGGGUUGUAAAAAUCUUUUGUAUAGGAAGAAAAUGACAGUACUAUACGAAUAAGGACCGGCUAAUUACGUGCCAGCAGCCGCGGUAAUACGUAAGGUCCGAGCGUUGUCCGGAAUCAUUGGGCGUAAAGCGAGCGCAGGCGGUUAGAUAAGUCUGAAGUGAAAGGCAGUGGCUCAACCAUUGUAGGCUUUGGAAACUGUUUAACUUGAGUGCAGAAGGGGAGAGUGGAAUUCCAUGUGUAGCGGUGAAAUGCGUAGAUAUAUGGAGGAACACCGGUGGCGAAAGCGGCUCUCUGGUCUGUAACUGACGCGGAGGCUCGAAAGCGUGGGGAGCGAACAGG
RNAcentral lists this ribosomal RNA (402 nucleotides) under Bacteroidota bacterium. RNAcentral's name for it is "Bacteroidetes bacterium partial 16S ribosomal RNA". It matches the Rfam family "Bacterial small subunit ribosomal RNA", at positions 355 to 776 of the family's 1533-position model. Lineage: Bacteria; Pseudomonadati; Bacteroidota. The record is from RNAcentral.